AAGAGUUGUCAUUUGAAGCUCUGUACAGCUCCACUUCACUGCCAAACAGAACAGAAGUAAAAGGAAUAUCUGAAAAGCUGCAUAAAUAAGAACAACUGGACAGCAACCAUGCUGUUCUGAUUAAUAUUCAGAGGGCUUUCCUAUUUGGCGGAAAAGCUGUCUGGCUGCUUUAAACCAUCAAGACAACGAGUUACAAACACAGGAUGAUCCAGCAACCGGCAGCAAGUAUGGUCAGCAACCAGAAGUCCUCCACCGAACCAGUUCCCAUCAGUCGACAUGAUGCCCGUUUAAUAUGUCAUGUUAAAUAGGCAUUUGUAAAACUAGUAGUCCCCAUAUACGUGGCCACGUGAUGUGAGCCUCUCUCUGUGCUGAAAAUAAUGAUGACUUGCCUUUAAACUCUCAAAUUAGGAGGUGGGCAUUUCUGAUGGUUCAUUCAGGACAGACAGGAGUACACACCCUGCCAGUGCUACCCAGAUUAAUGGAUUCAUUAAAGGGCCCAUAUCCUACAUUUUACUUACAAUGUUUAUGUGGUUAUAUGUACCAAAAACAGUUGUAUUCCAUUUUCGUAAACCUUUAUCCCUAGGAAUUAAACGAGCUGUUUUUGUUACUGUGCAUUUAAGACUGAUGCAUGUAAAUGACCUCUGUUCUGCCCUGUAUUAUAACUUUAGUGUCACUGGGUGAGGCAAAAGUGCUGUCACACAAUGCCCUCCACAGAUAUUGGCACCCCUAGUAAUCAUGAGCAAAAUGAAUAAAUAUGAGCAGAAUGAAAUAAUUAUUCUUAAUUACUUAUUCUUUUUUAUUUCUUUCAAAAAUUAGCAACAAUCUAACAUUUCUUUAAAGUAUAAUGAUAAACCAAAUUUCAUCAUAAAAAAAUAUUUUUCUUAAAUCUGUGCCACAAUUGUUGAAAUUCUUAAACGUGAAAACUAAGUGAAGUAUAUUCAAAUUCAUAUUUUAUAUUUUUAAGUUCACGUGAGUGAUUAGAAACACUUAAAUGGUAAUUAUUCACUGGGGAAAACAUAUAGGAUGAAAAACAGACUAAAUUCCCUCAGUCAUCCAUCACUAUGAGAAAGACCAGAGAAAACAGCAAUGAACUAUGACAAAAGGUUCUUGAGCUGCACACAUCAGGAAACGGCCACAAGAAAAUAGCUGAACAGUUGAAAAGGCCCUUUUUUUACCAUCAGGGAAAUAAUUAAGAAGCUUAAAACAACUGGAGAUAUUAAGAAUCUGCUGAGAAAAGAAUGCAUGUCUAUACUCUCCCCAUAUACAGUGAGGAGGAUGGAAAAAAGUUUUUGCUGCUUGGUUUCCAUAUACAUGGACUGUAUAGACUGUGAAGUGAAUGGUACUUAUUUCAAAAAGCUA
Molecule: long non-coding RNA, 1359 nt
Organism: Colossoma macropomum (tambaqui)
Lineage: Eukaryota; Metazoa; Chordata; Actinopteri; Characiformes; Serrasalmidae
Exons: 3
Source: RefSeq, a predicted model, not a curated record